UUUAAUGAGGCACCUAGCAAUGCGUCUUACUAAAUAUGUGUACUCUUUUUCCUUCGCUGAGAUUUUUUUUCCCACGUGGUUUUUUCCUAGUAAGGUUUUAAUGAAGCUACAUUAUCUUUUUAAUGAACAUCCAAGGGGGAGUGUUAUAAAUAUAUUAUAUUAUGGAUGUUCAUUUAGUACUCCGUUGUAAAUAAGCUUCCUGAAGAAGCUUAUCCAUAUGGGACUCCACCGUAAAUAUGUUUAUCUAUUUAGUACUAUAUUGGAAAUAAGCUUCCUGAAGAAACUUAUCACUUCGGUACCCAGUUAUGGAUAAACAUUACCUCCGGUAGAAGAUUAUCCAUACCGGAUAUAAUGAGCUUAUCUUUUCAUUACCCGGUUAUGG
RNAcentral lists this long non-coding RNA (382 nucleotides) under Nicotiana tabacum (common tobacco). Its description in RNAcentral is "long non-coding RNA (NTAB_LNC019472)". Lineage: Eukaryota; Viridiplantae; Streptophyta; Magnoliopsida; Solanales; Solanaceae. The record is from RNAcentral.